UACAGAGGGGGCAAGCGUUAUUCGGAAUUACUGGGCGUAAAGGGCGUGUAGGCGGCACUGCAAGUCGACUGUGAAAUCUCCGGGCUUAACCCGGAAAGGUCAGCCGAUACUGCGGGGCUAGAGUGCAGAAGGGGCAACUGGAAUUCUCGGUGUAGCGGUGAAAUGCGUAGAUAUCGAGAGGAACACCUGCGGCGAAGGCGGGUUGCUGGGCUGACACUGACGCUGAUGCGCGAAAGCUAGGGGAGCGAACGGG
RNAcentral lists this ribosomal RNA (253 nucleotides) under uncultured bacterium. Its description in RNAcentral is "partial 16S ribosomal RNA". It matches the Rfam family "Bacterial small subunit ribosomal RNA", at positions 524 to 776 of the family's 1533-position model. The record is from RNAcentral.